This is a non-coding RNA of Coturnix japonica (Japanese quail), 5118 nucleotides long. The record is from RefSeq and is a predicted model, not a curated record. NCBI's taxonomy places the organism in Eukaryota, Metazoa, Chordata, Aves, Galliformes, Phasianidae.
CCCUGAGAAUGGAAAAACAAACGUGAUUGUGCUAAUUCUCAUUCUUCCUUUCUGACAACCAAUUGUGACUGUUCAUCCCAUGCACAUGUCCAUGUAGUCAACUCCCUCAGGCUCACUGAGGGAAAUUUACACUGCUAAAUUUCCAAUUAUUUUGUUACUACUAAAUAUUGUUUGACAAUUAUUUUCCUUUUUACUUACAAUUAUUCUCUUCCAUUCCAGUAACAACUUUAGUUUUUCUUGUCAUUAUCUUAUGUAAUACCACCAGACAAUCGAUGUGUCUAACUUGAAUAUUAAGCUCCCCUCCGAUCCGAGAUUUAUUUUUGCAAUAGCAUGAACGCAAAUGGGGUCAAUGGCUCAGAAAAGAUUUUUCUCUCACUAACAUCUGUCCAUGGAACGUUUGGCUCCUUCAUCUACUCAGAUCUUGCUUGUUCUCUUUCUGAAUCCUUUCUAACAAAAAAAAAACAAAACAAAACAAAAAAACCCCAAACAUGCAUUAAGAGUGUAGUCAAGAAGAACGCAAUUCUGUCAACAUUUGCUGCCUACUUAAACAUUUUUCUUGCAUACCAAAAGCAUGGGACUGGGACAAAAGGACUUUCUGGUUUAGGCGUGGCCGGACCUCUGCAUACAGUAUUGCUUCACUGAACACAGUAUGUUGCAAGAAGGUAAUAUAAAUUCCAUUCUGUGUGACCAGGCAGACCUCUGGGUAUUAUUUUUGUAUCUUGGUUAUUCGGUCUACCUUCGGAACUGCCCUGAUACCAAUAGAUUCAUUGUGAGUGAUCUCAGGUUACAAAGAUAGGAAAGUACAACCUCAAAGCUAUGCUAGCUGGAUUCCCAGGGCACUAGCUAGGCAAGUUAUUGACAGUACAGCUACGGCAGACUCCUACAAGCACACCUGAACUAAAUAAGGAAAAUUCUUAAUCCUGGAAGUUCUUAUUUUUUUCUAAGAAAUGCAAUUAUUUUUUUCCAUUUGUGACUAACUCUGAAUCUUACAGAGCCUCAGAAGCAUAGAGCACGAUUGUGAAUUGUGUUGAACACCAAUUUCAUCAUUUACCCAAUACAGCACCAGGGAAAUAGAUAUACGCUCCAUUUAGUAUCCUAACCUCUGGGAUCAGUUCUGUUCUGUAAUCUGAUUCCUGCACACAUAUGCAUAUCCCUGUACAAACAGGGCUUUCUACUCAGAACUGUACGUAUUGAAAGAGUUCUUAAAAAACUUCUGUGUCGGACAGCUCUCACCUAUUCUGUUACAGCACACUUCACAAAGCACAGUUAUCAGAUAAGCAUCGGUGGCAUUUACCACCUCAGCCUGGGUACAGACAGGUAGUGUGUGUAAGAGCACACCAUCCAAGUCAGAAACAGGAACCCUAGACCAAAUGCCUUGUAGUGCUGUGCUAUGGUGUGCAACCAGUUGGAUCACUGCCUUACUGAUCAGGUCUUGCCUUUUAACUCUCCCAAUUAACAGUUAAUACUCAGUGUUAUCAUUGCAAUAGAACCUGACAGCAACUAUUUUCCAUGGCUAGUAAUACACUGACCUCUCUCCCCGGUUACUUAGCUGCAUCUUGCAUGAGACUUCAGAAAGUCUCCAUUUAUCUUCUGAUACUCUGCUAUCACUGCAUUUGUCUUCAGCUACUUCUCUACUCCUUACACAUGCAACUUCACUUUCAUCUGCUUGUAGACUGAACUCUAAUAUAUUUUCAGAGACUUUCUUCAUCACCAGUGGAAAUAUUACCACCAUCCUCAUCAAUCCCACAUCUCAGUGGAUGCUUCUGCCCACAACCUCUGGGCAGCAAGGAGCUUGCCUCCACAAGGAAACCAAUACCUGGGUGAUGUGGGAUCUGCAUUAAGACAAGGGAGAGCCAAAGUAAAGUAUCAGCUAGGCCUACAACCACAGGACUUGGUCAGAAAGAAGCUCCUUUAACUACACCUAGAAGUUAAUAACAAAGUAGUCAGUAGAGGUAAAAGUGUUCAAGUCAUACAGACAUUCAGUGAGGAAUAUAGAUCAGGAACAAAUGAUAACACCUCAGAUAACCUUCUGUUCUUUGGGACACGUAACUUCUUCAGCAUACAUUCUUUACAAGCGCUCAUGGUGUCUGGACUUCAUUUUGACUUCCAAACUGAAAUGCUGAUCCCCACCUUUCUGGAGUUGAAAUGUACCUCACUGAAGUUACCGUUUAGUGCUUGAGUAGGAGGCACUGCCCAGACAAAUACACAAACAGAAAUGAAACACACUUGCCAAAUUCCUUGUACUGGUGGUAUUGGCAGCAUGAAUAAGCUCAGCAUCUUUACUGUGAAUGAAACAGUCACAGAAUGUACAAACAAACAGUCACUAUGUGUGUAACCAUGGCUCAGUGAAUUUCCUCAAAUCCCACGGGGAUUUCCUGACUUCCUGCUUCACAGCCAACUACCUUUGCUAGGAUAAAAAUCAUACAGUCCAUGCUUUACAAAGGCUGUUGAACAUAACUCAGAUGUGAAGGAAGGUGACAUUACUUUCUCUUCUCAGAUUAUCACAAACACUGGCAAGCAGUUCAAUUUCCUUAGUGGUGGAGAGCUGCAAUUCUACCUGAAUUGAGGUACCAAGCUGCCUUUGGUCCUGUGCACAUUAAUGGGUUAAAAACAGCUAUGACAGGUUCAGCUUUUCCACCUAUAUCAGCAUAACGCUGCUAGCAUAAACAGACUACCAGUACACUGCAGCAUUAAGAGAGAUUUUGAAGCCAUUUAGAUGACACAGUGCGUAAAAUGAUCACAGCUGCCAGCUCUACAAUAGCACUUGCCAGACUGCCAACAUACUGGAAAACACCGUAGGAAAUAUUACUUGUGCAUGUGGAGCCCCUGACAUCAUUUAGAACAGACCAGCAAGAACAAUCACUCCAGACUUUGGUUUCUCUUGCCAAAGGACAGAAAUGCUAUGAAAGAUUUUACAGCGUGGGGCUUUUUCCUAGGAAUAGUGAUGAAAGAUUCACGUAAGACCAAGUCUGCUCUAUGCUUUUUUUUCAUUCUAGUGACUCAGAACACAAACAGUCCCAUGGUUUGGACAGUCUCCUGACCUCUGCUGAAGCACUGGGAAGGCUCACACCUCACAUAUGUGCCUGGGGUUCACUGGCCUAAUUCUGGAAGUCUCAGGAAUCUAAUUCACCACCAGGCUGUUGAAAAACAAGGCAAUCCUCUGGGAAACAGAAAUAUCCAGCAGCAAGAUGAUCAAAGGCGUAUUGUUUUUUGCUGUACCAGGCCAUCCUAUCUCAAAGUCAAGAUUUGGUUUUCAUAUGCUGUUAAAAGUAGCAUUCCUUCCCACCGAACCUCAUCAGGAUGUGGCAGACCAUAAAGGCAACUUAAAUUAAGAAUUUCCCGCUGUUAUUGCUCAUGUUCAGACACAGGAAAAGGCUGUGAUCCUGAGUUAGGAAGUAACAACCAUUAGCAGAAACAACCUAUUCAUUAUUUUUCAAGUCCAUGCAGAUCUACAGUGCAUCUACACACACACAAGUCACAAAACAACAGUGCUAUUGCAAGCAAGAGCUAUCCAAUCAACAGCACUCUGUGACAGUAUUUCAAAUCCCUCCUCAUGAGAAAUAUCCCCAAGAUUUGUUUCAGCAUCUUCGAAGUAAUGGAGAACAGCAGUUUCCUUUCUAACAACAGAAAUCUUAUGCUCAAUCUAGCUUGUAAAGCAAUGGCAAUUGGUACAUAAAGUUCAUGAAGGUAUGUUCUAGAUGGUGGUGAGAAAGUGAACAGACCACAGCUCUCAGUAACACGCAUUCUAUCCACCUAAUGAUGGAGUUCAACAGACUCUCAUGCUGUAAGAACAAAAGCAGUCCUUCAAGCAACUCAGAGCACAUUAUCCCAGUCCCAUUUAAUCCAAAAGAGAACACAUCCAGCAUAACACUACAGUGAAGUGAAAAAUCCCUCUCAUGAGUUAUAUAAAAACUCCACAUUCCCUACAUACUCUAAGUGGAUAAUAAACUACAAUUAACAUAUAUAGGUGUGUGUAUAUACAUACUAUAAUAACAUUAAAAGACAGAACUCCUCCAGCUGCAUAUAUGGGCAAACAGAACAUACACAUGAAACUACAGAAAUGGUAUCAAAAAAACAAAUUCCACACAAGUUUUUAUGUAUACACACUGAAAACUGCUCUGACUCCCCACACACAGUAAGUUAUCACACAGAAAUGACUCACAGCUGAAGUAUGCCCAUUAAGAGAGGUCACUGGCUGGAUUUAGGAUUUUGAGUCAGGAAGACUUGUAAUUUGCAAACAACUCUAAGCCAAUUCAGCUUCUCAGCAACAUAUUGCUGCAGCUAAAAGAAGCAGUGGCCAGCGCAAUAAACUGAAUAAUAUUAUAAAUACAUCUAGCAAGGGAAAAAAAAAGCUCAGAAAAUGCUCAGUAUUUCACAAAGAACAGAUUUUAAUGUACAUUCACUGCUUGAGCCUGCUCAAAAGAAAUCGUCUCCAGGAUUUUAAAAAUCAUGUACAACCCAGUAAACAAAUAAAAUAGUUUAUUUUUACUCUCAUGAUAAAAAAACCCAACAUCAAAACUUCCACAUUAUGUAGAACUCCUCUGAUCAGAUGUAUGCACUUUGUCCCUUACUUAGUCCAUGUAAAAGAACUGGAAGACAGUCUUCAAGGCCUUUGUUUUUCAAGUUAGCAAUUUAAGCACGUAUACAAACAACCCGCUGGAACAUCACUCAGAAAUUGGCUCAGACAUUUUAAAACAGUUCUGUGAUUUAAAAGGCAAACGUGGGAAAGAAUUUACUGACUUCCAAGAAUUCGUAACUUUUCUAAAAUCAGCUCUCCUAAUCAAGAAGCACAUAACCAGAAAUCCAGAAAAUAAUUACAAAUGCAUCACAGCUUACAAUGCACCUCAAACACUGACCACUGUAAGAAUUUUCUUCUUUCUUUCUCACUAGGAACCGCAGCAGGCAGGAUACUCUUUUUUUAACCUCACACUCAGCUUGGCUCAAAAUUUCAAGUGAAGUGCUGAGCUAUACCAUAGCCUUGUUGGCUUUUUCAAAUGUCGACUAAGGCAAACUUUAAUAGCUCAGGUAAACACCACCAUGUAUCCCCCUGAACUCUGACAGGAGAUUGGACUGCACCCUUUCAGUAAUACAAUGAGAAAAACAUCAAUAUUUAUCUUU